UACGGAGGGAGCUAGCGUUAUUCGGAAUUACUGGGCGUAAAGCGCACGUAGGCGGCCUGCUAAGUCGGAUGUGAAAGCCCAGGGCUCAACCCUGGAAGUGCAUUCGAAACUGGCGAGCUUGAGUGUCGGAGAGGGUGGUGGAAUUCCGAGUGUAGAGGUGAAAUUCGUAGAUAUUCGGAGGAACACCAGUGGCGAAGGCGACCACCUGGACGAACACUGACGCUGAGGUGCGAAAGCGUGGGGAGCAAACAGG
This 253-nucleotide ribosomal RNA is filed under the name uncultured bacterium. RNAcentral describes it as "partial 16S ribosomal RNA". It matches the Rfam family "Bacterial small subunit ribosomal RNA", at positions 524 to 776 of the family's 1533-position model. The record is from RNAcentral.